CAAUAGCGUAUAUUAAAGUUGUUGCAGUUAAAAAGCUCGUAGUUGGAUUUGUGGCGUACGGUGUGUUCCGGGCACUUGUUGUCUGAGUAACCUGCUGUUGCCAUCCUUGGGUGGAACCUGUGUGGCAUUAGGUUGUCGUGCAGGGGAUGCCCAUCAUUUACUGUGAAAAAAUUAGAGUGUUCAAAGCAGGCUUAUGCCGUUGAAUAUAUUAGCAUGGAAUAAUGAGAUAGGACUUUUUUGCUAUUUUGUUGGUUUGCGCAAAGAGGUAAUGAUUAAUAGGGACAGUUGGGGGUAUUCGUAUUCCAUUGUCAGAGGUGAGAUUCUUGGAUUUUUGGAAGACGAACUACUGCGAAAGCAUUUACCAAGGAUGUUUUCAUUAA
This 380-nucleotide ribosomal RNA is filed under the name uncultured eukaryote. RNAcentral's name for it is "partial 18S ribosomal RNA". It matches the Rfam family "Eukaryotic small subunit ribosomal RNA", at positions 592 to 976 of the family's 1831-position model. The record is from RNAcentral.